AAAAACAAACACAAUACAAACGCCAAAAUUAUUCAACAUUUCUCACCCCACACGAAGCAACUACACCGCCUACAACCCCGAAAAGUAUGCAAUUGAAAAUUUGGUAUUGAGUGAAAAUUCCACAAAAAAGCGCGUAAAGCAAAAUUCAAGAAACAAACGUAUACAAUAUGCAAUAUAAGCAAUGAUGAAAAUACAUAUAGUAGCGGUAGCGGGUAAAAUCAGUGAAGUGGGAAAAUGAAUUGAAUGCAGAGAAAAGGCAAAAUUGUGUACAACGAAUGAAAACGAAAAUCGCCUGCGCUGGCAAAGCAAAGUGUGUAUGCAGCAACUAAAAAUUUGUGUAUGCAUGUUUGCAUAUUUGCGUUUGCAUGUACAUACAUCCAAGUAAAUACACACUUACAUAUAUAGCCCAUAAUUGCAUGAGAGGAAAACCGAGGCAAAAGUAGCAGGAGACGCUGAAGAAGAACGCCUGUGGCGCAAGGCAAAUAUUGUAGUUACAAUGCAAAAAGGAUGUGGAAGAAAAAAGGGGGUUGGUUGGUUGGUUUGUUGGUUAGAUAUUUGUGCAUAAAGCGCUUUGUGCCGUGCGCCCUUUAACCUAACCCCUUUCACCGACAAACUAUCAUGCAACGUCAACUAACUACAACAGCACAGAGGCAAACAUUUGCAGCAAACUUGCCCAGCCAACCAACCGACCAACAAUCCAUCCACUCGUAUUGCAAUUGCAGAGAUUUUGCCCGCGGCGCAAACAUAACUCGAGAAGGAAAGAAAUAAUGAAUAUGAAAGAAAAGAAAAAGAGAAUAGAAGAAGAAAAAAAAAACAAUUUGCAUGUAAAUUAAUGCGCGCAUCUGCAUUAUUCAAGCGCCUGCAACAACAGCAAUAGAAUAACAACAAAUACAAUAACUGGUCUAGUUGCCAAACAACACAACACGCGCGGGAAUCAUAAAAGGAUAUUUGCACACAAACGCACACACAGGCAUAUAUUAUGAACUAAUAUGUGCUUUUCGAGCAAAUCAUAGUUAGUGUUCUAUGCAAGCCUUGCGAGCGUGUCGGUAAGGACAAACACCCCACCCCGCCUAGGACUGUGGCAACGCUAAAGCGCAUCAAAUGCACGCCGGCAAUAAGCUGCAACUGUUCCAUGCUGCAGUCGAAGGACUAUAUUUUUAAUUGAAUACCGCACGUUUCUAAGUGAACAUUGGCAGAAAUUGCAGAAAAAUAUAUUGAAAAUAAUACUUUGAAAACCAAAAAGUUUUAAAAAAUAUUUGGCAAGUGAAAGAAAUGGAAGUGCAGCAAAAUGUCGAUAAUACGAGCGCACUUGAAAAUCUUUUAUGGCAAACAACAAUAUUGUAAAACAACCACAAUUUUGGAAAGUUGAAUAAUGGCAAUAAAAAAACAUAUUUCGGCAAACAAAUUUCAAAAAAAUUGAAAACGAAAACAAAAGAAAAUUUAAUGGAAAUUUGUUGAAAUACUUUUUCCAAAUUGGCAAAACUGUGUUCGCAAAAACAAACGACAAAACAAAACGUAGCGACACGUUGUAACGUAAGCAACACGCAACAAGGAGGAGUAGUGUAGAGAAAAUAGCAACAAAACUGCAAAAUAAAAUUUGAGAAAAAAACGUAAACAAAUUGGAAACUUAUUCAAAAUUAUUGGUUUGGACUUGCAGCAAUACUAAUACACAACAACAGCAAUCACAAUAACGUUAACAACGGCAACAACAACAACUACUACUACACAG
This 1729-nucleotide long non-coding RNA is filed under the name Ceratitis capitata (Mediterranean fruit fly). RNAcentral describes it as "uncharacterized LOC110118507, transcript variant X2". The record is from RNAcentral. Lineage: Eukaryota; Metazoa; Arthropoda; Insecta; Diptera; Tephritidae.